Molecule: ribosomal RNA, 775 nt
Filed under: uncultured Neocallimastigales
Lineage: Eukaryota; Fungi; Neocallimastigomycota; Neocallimastigomycetes; Neocallimastigales
Description: partial large subunit ribosomal RNA
Rfam family: Eukaryotic large subunit ribosomal RNA
Source: RNAcentral
CAUAGCGACUAUCGUGGCAUAUCAAUAAGCGGAGGAAAAGAAACUAACAAGGAUUCCCUUAGUAACGGCGAGUGAAGCGGGAAGAGCUCAAAUUUGAAAUCUUCAAGGUUCUACCUUGACGAAUUGUAGUUUAUAGAAGUGUUUUCUGUUAGUAGGAGUGGCAAAAGUUCUUUGGAAUAGGACAUCAUAGAGGGUGAGAAUCCCGUAUUUGGUCAUUCCUCCUAGCGUUGUGAUACACUUUCAACGAGUCGGAUUGUUUGGGAAUGCAGUCCAAAAUGGGUGGUAAAUUUCAUCUAAAGCUAAAUAUUGGCGAGAGACCGAUAGCGAACAAGUACCGUGAGGGAAAGAUGAAAAGAACUUUGAAAAGAGAGUUAAACAGUACGUGAAAUUGUCAAAAGGGAAGCGUUUGACACCAGUGUUGUUUAGUUGAAAAUCAAUUAAAUAUUUUUCGAUUUUAAGUAGUAUUGACCUUAUCAGCUUGCUGCUUUUUUCUCGGAAAUUAUUUAAUGCACUUUUCAGUUAACAAGUCAACAUCAAUUUCUUUUGUUGUAAAAAGGUAAGAGGAAGGUGGCUUGCGCUUCGGCUCAAGUGUUUAUAGCCUUUUACCCCUGCAAUCGGAGAGAUUGAGGUCUGCAGCGUAGAUCCUUCGGGGUUAGAUACGUUUGUGCUAAGUUAUAGCUUUUCAUAGACAACUUGUUGACUAUGUUUAGUCUUGUAGCUUACUCGCUGACGCUAUUUUACCUACGCUUAGGAUGUUGAUAGUCACAGCGUGUAC